Long non-coding RNA from Brienomyrus brachyistius, 503 nucleotides. RefSeq lists it as uncharacterized. The transcript has 4 exons. The record is from RefSeq and is a predicted model, not a curated record. NCBI's taxonomy places the organism in Eukaryota, Metazoa, Chordata, Actinopteri, Osteoglossiformes, Mormyridae.
GGGGGGGAAAGGCAGACUUGUAUGACCUUUCCAUUGUAAAAGGGACCUGGAAGGUUCAGGAGAAACCCAAGCUUCUCUGGGAUUUCGCACAGGUUACAUCACUGGGUGGCGCGUGGGCACACCGGCGGGAAACCCGGGGGCCGUCCUCGGAGUGGGACCCCCCUGCCCUGCUCCAGAGCCGCAGCCCACUGGUUCAGAGACACGCCGUGCUGGUUCACUGCUUCAAAUGGGCUUCUCUGCUUCGGCAGCGGGAUAGAUUGCUACAGGUCACAGAGGAUCCGGAGCUUAUCCCGGCGGCUGCGGGCAGAAGUCAGGGAACAACCCAGGAUGGGAUACCAAGCUAUCGCAGUGCACAUUCACACACCAUUUGAAGGCAAAGGUACAGCAGUGCAGAGUGUGAGUGUAACCUGCACUGAGCGUCGUGCAAAGUGGAGUUUGAAGAACGGGAAUUGGGGGAGCAGACGGUGGGCUACGGCACGUGCAGCCCGGGGCCAUCCGGCAGA